CCUACGGGGGACAGCAGUGAGGAAUAUUGGUCAAUGGGCUUACGCCUGAACCAGCCAAGUCGCGUGAGGGAAGACUGCCCUAUGGGUUGUAAACCUCUUUUGUCAGGGAGCAACGCCGGCUAAGUGUAGCAGGAGUGAGAGUACCGGAAGAAAAAGCAUCGGAUAACUCCCUGAAAGCAGCCGCGUGAAUACGGAGGAUGCGAGCGUUAUCCGGAUUUAUUGGGUUUAAAGGGUCCGUAGGCGGAAUGCCAAGUCAGCGGUAAAAUCGCGGGGCUCAACCUCGCUCCGCCGUUGAAACUGGCGUUCUAGGGGGGGCGAGAAGUAUGCGGAAUGCGUGGUGGAGCGGUGAAAUGCAUAGAUAUCACGCAGAACUCCGAGUGCGAAGGCAGCAUACCGGCGCCCAACUGACUCUACCACACGAAAGCGUGGGUAGCGAACAGGAUUAGAUACCCCAAGUC
RNAcentral lists this ribosomal RNA (458 nucleotides) under uncultured bacterium. RNAcentral describes it as "partial 16S ribosomal RNA". It matches the Rfam family "Bacterial small subunit ribosomal RNA", at positions 338 to 795 of the family's 1533-position model. The record is from RNAcentral.